UACAGAGGGUGCGAGCGUUGUUCGGAAUUACUGGGCGUAAAGCGCGCGCAGGCGGCUCUUUAAGUUUAUGGGUCAAGGCCCGGGGCUCAACCUCGCGGUCGCCCGGGAUACUGGAGAGCUAGGGACAUGUAGGGGCGAGCGGAAUUCCGGGUGUAGCGGUGGAAUGCGUAGAGAUCCGGAAGAACACCGGGGGCGAAGGCGGCUCGCUGGGCAUGGUCCGACGCUGAGGCGCGAAAGCGUGGGGAGCGAACAGG
RNAcentral lists this ribosomal RNA (254 nucleotides) under uncultured bacterium. RNAcentral's name for it is "partial 16S ribosomal RNA". It matches the Rfam family "Bacterial small subunit ribosomal RNA", at positions 524 to 776 of the family's 1533-position model. The record is from RNAcentral.